Molecule: long non-coding RNA, 964 nt
Organism: Anopheles funestus (African malaria mosquito)
Lineage: Eukaryota; Metazoa; Arthropoda; Insecta; Diptera; Culicidae
Exons: 2
Source: RefSeq, a predicted model, not a curated record
AAUUUAUUGUGUGAAUAUUCUUUGCACUAAUACACAUCCAAAUUAUGAAUCAAAACACUUUCCAAACUUCGGAACAAGGGUCUAGGUUGGUAAACGCCAUCAUAACGAUGGCGUUGGUAGCUUCAAACUGUAAGAGUAUACCCAGUUACCAGUUGGAAAGUGCCCGCUCGUAUCUCGAAACAGUUCGCACUGAAGCUAUAAUGAAAGGUGAAAAGCUGCCAAACGUCGAAAGGAUGCAAUUGCUUCUGAAUUCGCAUAAAGAGAUACAAAACAGCGUUGCAAACCAGGGCGAACACACAUACAACACACAAAAUCUACACCAAUAGCAAACGGUUAGAGACGAUAUGGUGGAGAUCGGGUAACGGGUACGGAUGCGUGGUACGAGGGAGGCUGCUGUGUUAAUCAUCGAUAAACACACUGCACAACAAUAGUCACCUCAUUCGGAACCAGUGGUGGAUGAUGCUCCAACCCACUGAGCUUAACCUGGCAUGAUGAAUGGGAAAACCGGAUGUCAAACGACGCGUUAUCGGUUAUCGUAUAGAAAAAGCAAGAAUAGGUCAAAUGAGAAAUGGUCCGAAAAGAAAGAAGCUUUUACAAUCCCCGUCUGCUGUCUUACCAUGAUGUUCUGCUCGAUAAUGCUGGGAUCGUCACAGAUUGAUUCGACGAAAAACAGCUUGUAUCCCAUCUUCUUCACAACAAUUUCGCGUAUCAUUUGACGGCGAUCUCGGGUGGAAUUCGUAGCAUCAAACACCUAAAAGAACCAACAAAAAUCAUUAGCAGUGUGUCAACCGACGUGAAACAUGAUGUAGGUAUUCGGUUAAGAGAAAACAUUCGUUUGUAAAUUAAUUGUUAUGAUCGAUCCACUUGUAAAUGUUUUCUACAGCAAACAAACAUAAUCUCUCAGCCUCGACGGUUCUAUGUAUGUUUAGCAGUGCUAAAUAAACAACACCACAAUCUACCGAGA